RNAcentral lists this ribosomal RNA (458 nucleotides) under Parazoarcus communis. RNAcentral's name for it is "bacterial SSU rRNA". It matches the Rfam family "Bacterial small subunit ribosomal RNA", at positions 208 to 654 of the family's 1533-position model. The record is from RNAcentral. Lineage: Bacteria; Pseudomonadati; Pseudomonadota; Betaproteobacteria; Rhodocyclales; Zoogloeaceae.
UCUNNGGACCUACGCUGAUUGGAGCGGCCGAUGUCAGAUUNGCUAGUUGGUGAGGUAAAGGCUCACCAAGGCGACGAUCUGUAGCGGGUCUGAGAGGAUGAUCCGCCACACUGGGACUGAGACACGGCCCAGACUAAUACGGGAGGCAGCAGUGGGGAAUUUUGGACAAUGGGCGCAAGCUGAUCCAGCCAUGCCGCGUGAGUGAAGAAGGCCUUCGGGUUGUAAAGCUCUUUCGCAAGGGAAGAAAACGUGUGGGCUAAUAUUCUGCGCGGAUGACGGUACCUUGACAAGAAGCACCGGCUAACUACGUGCCAGCAGCCGCGGUAAUACGUAGGGUGCGAGCGUUAAUCGGAAUUACUGGGCGUAAAGCGUGCGCAGGCGGUUGUGUAAGACAGGUGUGAAAUCCCCGGGCUUAACCUGGGAACUGCGCUUGUGACUGCACGGCUAGAGUACGGCAG